CUGCAACCUCCACCUCCUGGGUUCAAGCAAUUCUCCUUCCUCAGUCUCCCAAGUAGCUGGGAUUACAGGUGUGCACCACCAUGCCUAGUUAAUUUUUGUAUUUUUAGUAAAGACGGGGUUUCACCAUGUUGGCCAGGCUGGUCUCAAACUCCCACACCCCCAACCUCAGGUGAUCUGCUUGCCUCAGCCUCUCAGUGUUGGGAUUACAGGCAUGAGCCACUGUGCCCGGCUGCAGGUUUGGAAUUAUUAACAAAGCUGUUACAAAUAUUUUUACACCUAUAUCCUGGUACACAUGCACAAUAAUUUAUCUGGGAAAUAUUUCUAGGAUGGGAAUAGCCAGGUCAUAGGAUAUGUACAUGUACACCUUUAUCGGAAAAUACCAAAUUGUAUUCCAAAAAGGCUGUAUUAGUUUGUACUUUCUAAGAGUUUCCCAUUCUCCCACAUUCUUUAGAUUUUUUGUUAAACUUUAAUCUCUUAUGAGGUAAAUUAAUAGAUUUUUCCAAAAUUAAAGCAACUCCACAUUCCUUGGAGAUAGCCAACCAGGUCGUGAUGUACUUCUUUAUAUUAAAAUAUAUUUCUGGCUUUGGAGGUCUAAUGUUUUGCAUGGGAUUUCUGUAUAUUCAUGGAGCAUAUAGGCCUAUGAUUUUCCUUUCUUUUAUGCUCCCUGGUUACAUUAGCCUCAUAAAAUGAGCUGCGGCAUCCUUUCCCAUUCUCUGAAAGACUUAAAGACUCCCUAAGUGAGUUUAAAUAUUUUCUCCCCACCCAGGAAUUUAUCCAUCUCAUCUAAGAUUUCAAAUUUACUAAAGUACAAUAAUUUAAUAUAUCUUUUUAUUACAUUGAUCUCUGCAAAAUAUAUGGUCUUGUACAUUUUUCAUUACCAAUACUAUUUAUUUGUGCCUUUUCUCCUUUGUUCCCAAAUGAUUCUUGCUAUAAAUUGGUUAUUUCAUUAGACUUUCCAAAUCAACAACUUGUGAUUUUGUGAUUCUUUCUAGUCAAUGUUUUCUAUUUCAGUAGUUUCUGCCAUCUUUAUCAUUUCCUUCCUCCCACUUUCCUUGGGUAUAUUCUGUUCUAACUCCUGAAUUUUGAGCAGUUCUUCUUUGCUGAUAUAAGCAGUUAAGGCUAUACAGUCAUGCAUCCUUUAAUGACAGGGAUACGUUCUGAGAAAUGCAUCAUUGUGUGAACAUCAAAGAGUGUACUUUCACAACUCUAGGUGGUACAGCCUACUACACACCUAAGCUAUGUGGUAUAGCCUAUUGCUCUGAAGCUACAAACCUGUACAGCAUGUUACUGUACUGAAUACUUUAGGCAAUCCUAACACAAUGGUAGGUUUUGUGCAUCUAAACAUACGUAAACUUGGAAAAGGUGCAGUAAAAAUACAGGGGUACUUAAAAAAUAUUUAACUGCUGUGUAUAUACUGCUGUCCACUUUUAUGACAGGAGCAUUUUUAUGUAAAAUCACUUGUAUCACCGAAUUAUUAUAUUUUCUAUGUGAUAAGGAAAGUAGGAGUAGAAAUUUUCAAAUGUGAGAUCAUGGAAUAUUUUACUAAAGUGCACGAAUCAAGGAACAAAUAAGUGAAAGAGUUGAGGAGCUGCUCAUAAUCUGGGCAAAAUUCCAAGUAACAAACCUUAUAAUAAACCUCUUUUUUCAAUUUACCACCCCUCCCUCUGAAC
This is a long non-coding RNA of Homo sapiens (human), 1670 nucleotides long. The record is from Ensembl. NCBI's taxonomy places the organism in Eukaryota, Metazoa, Chordata, Mammalia, Primates, Hominidae.